RNAcentral lists this ribosomal RNA (52 nucleotides) under Clostridium sp. AF29-8BH. RNAcentral's name for it is "partial 23S ribosomal RNA". The record is from RNAcentral. Lineage: Bacteria; Bacillati; Bacillota; Clostridia; Eubacteriales; Clostridiaceae. RNAcentral also lists the same sequence under 2 other names.
GCGUAGUAAUACGUGAAGCUGACUGUUACUAAUCGGUCGAGGGCUUAACCAA